This 465-nucleotide ribosomal RNA is filed under the name uncultured bacterium. RNAcentral describes it as "partial 16S ribosomal RNA". It matches the Rfam family "Bacterial small subunit ribosomal RNA", at positions 28 to 507 of the family's 1533-position model. The record is from RNAcentral.
GACGAACGCUGGCGGCGUGCUUAACACAUGCAAGUCGAACGGAAAGGCCCUGCUUGCAGGGUCCUCGAGUGGCGAACGGGUGAGUAACACGUGGGUGAUCUGCCCUGCACUUCGGGAUAAGCCUGGGAAACUGGGUCUAAUACCGGAUAGGAGCCAUUUUUAGUGUGAUGGUUGGAAAGUUUUUUCGGUGUAGGAUGAGCUCGCGGCCUAUCAGCUUGUUGGUGGGGUAAUGGCCUACCAAGGCGGCGACGGGUAGCCGGCCUGAGAGGGUGGACGGCCACAUUGGGACUGAGAUACGGCCCAGACUCCGACGGGAGGCAGCAGGGGGGAAUAUUGCACAAUGGGCGCAAGCCUGAUGCAGCGACGCCGCGGGGGGGAUGACGGCCUUCGGGUUGUAAAAUCAUUUCGCUAGGGACGAAGCGUUUUGUGACGGUACCUAGAGAAGAAGCACCGGCUAACUACGUG